RNAcentral lists this unclassified non-coding RNA (669 nucleotides) under Hevea brasiliensis (rubber tree). Lineage: Eukaryota; Viridiplantae; Streptophyta; Magnoliopsida; Malpighiales; Euphorbiaceae. The record is from RNAcentral.
GUUGUAAUGUGCUUAACAGUCGAAACCUUCAAACUCAUAACAGUACAUGAGUACACGUAUAUUCAACCACUAAGAAGCUUUUUAUUCCAAGCUAACCUCAUUGCAUUACCUAUAACGCACUUUGACAUGUCCUCUUCAUUGUAGCAAAGGUUUCGACUGUUAAGCACAUUACAACCGAAGACACAUUCUUCCCUCUAUGUAGUUACUAGUUAGAAUCACAUUUCCAGUUUGAAUCUUAAAAGUAUUCUAAGGACAUCCUCUGCAAAGAUAGAGGGGUUCCCUCAAAUUAAAUUGUAUAAUAGUACAGGAGAGAAACAAGUCCAGAUUCAAACUUCCAAUUCACAUUGAGGCUCACCUUUCCAAGGGAUCUCCUCUAUUUGAAUUUAAAGAAGGAUAAGCAACCGCAGCAAUUUUGCCUCGAAGAUUGUAUUUCUUAGCAAUCAGUGGCCUCACAUCUUCAACCCCGACUAAGCUCUCCAAAAAUGGAAUCAGUAAAAGCAAUUCUUUAUCUGAACGAUCAUCAAACCAGCUCUGAAUUGGUAUACCAUUGUCCACUUGGAACCCAAAUGCCUGAGGAGAAUUGUCAAUUAUAACAACAUGUGCCAAAUCACGGCCAAGAACUGACAAAUCCUUGAGGUAAUUCCCCUCCACGAAAACACACGAUUCACG